Molecule: ribosomal RNA, 511 nt
Filed under: uncultured bacterium
Lineage: Bacteria
Description: bacterial SSU rRNA
Rfam family: Bacterial small subunit ribosomal RNA
Source: RNAcentral
GACGAACGCUGGCGGCGUGGAUUAGGCAUGCAAGUCGAACGGUAUCAUCCUUUCGGGGGUGAGAGAGUGGCGAACUGGUGAGUAACACGUAGGUUAUCUACCCUCAAGACGGGGACAACCCAGGGAAACUUGGGCUAAUACCGGAUGUGAGCAACUUUUAGUUGUUUGAAAGGUGGCGUAAGCUGUCGCUUGGGGAUGAGCCUGCGUCCUAUUAGUUAGUUGGUGAGGUAACGGCUCACCUAGGCAAUGAUAGGUAGGCGGCCUUAACGGGUGGUCGCCCACACUGGGAUUGAGAUACGGCCCAGACUCCUACGGGAGGCAGCAGUCGAGAAUAGUCUACAAUGGACGGAAGUCUGAUAGUGCGACGCCGCGUGAACGAAGAAUCCCUUCGGGGUGUAAAGUUCUUUAUACGUGAGCAGUGCCCUUUAUAUGAAUAGUAUAGAGGGAGGAUUUAAGCGUAUGAAUAAGCAACGGCUAACUCCGUGCCAGCAGCCGCGGUAAACUGUCUACG